UGGGGAAUAUUGGACAAUGGGCGAAAGCCUGAUCCAGCCAUGCCGCGUGUGUGAAGAAGGUCUUCGGAUUGUAAAGCACUUUAAGUUGGGAGGAAGGGCAGUUACCUAAUACGUAUCUGUUUUGACGUUACCGACAGAAUAAGCACCGGCUAACUCUGUGCCAGCAGCCGCGGUAAUACAGAGGGUGCAAGCGUUAAUCGGAAUUACUGGGCGUAAAGCGCGCGUAGGUGGUUUGUUAAGUUGGAUGUGAAAUCCCCGGGCUCAACCUGGGAACUGCAUUCAAAACUGACAAGCUAGAGUAUGGUAGAGGGUGGUGGAAUUUCCUGUGUAGCGGUGAAAUGCGUAGAUAUAGGAAGGAACACCAGUGGCGAAGGCGACCACCUGGACUGAUACUGACACUGAGGUGCGAAAGCGUGGGGAGCAAACAGGAUUAGAUACCCUUGUAGUCCCUGAGCGGGCUGGCAAGGCGCAU
This 472-nucleotide ribosomal RNA is filed under the name uncultured bacterium. RNAcentral describes it as "bacterial SSU rRNA". It matches the Rfam family "Bacterial small subunit ribosomal RNA", at positions 355 to 825 of the family's 1533-position model. The record is from RNAcentral.